GCAGACGGGUGAGUAACGCGUGGGAAUCUACCAUUUGCUACGGAACAACUCCGGGAAACUGGAGCUAAUACCGUAUGUGCCCUAACGGGGAAAGAUUUAUCGGCAAAUGAUGAGCCCGCGUUGGAUUAGCUAGUUGGUGGGGUAAAGGCCUACCAAGGCGACGAUCCAUAGCUGGUCUGAGAGGAUGAUCAGCCACACUGGGACUGAGACACGGCCCAGACUCCUACGGGAGGCAGCAGUGGGGAAUAUUGGACAAUGGGCGCAAGCCUGAUCCAGCCAUGCCGCGUGAGUGAUGAAGGCCCUAGGGUUGUAAAGCUCUUUCACCGGUGAAGAUAAUGACGGUAACCGGAGAAGAAGCCCCGGCUAACUUCGUGCCAGCAGCCGCGGUAAUACGAAGGGGGCUAGCGUUGUUCGGAUUUACUGGGCGUAAAGCGCACGUAGGCGGACUUUUAAGUCAGGGGUGAAAUCCCGGGGCUCAACCCCGGAACUGCCUUUGAUAC
This 500-nucleotide ribosomal RNA is filed under the name Brucella haematophila. RNAcentral describes it as "bacterial SSU rRNA". It matches the Rfam family "Bacterial small subunit ribosomal RNA", at positions 98 to 633 of the family's 1533-position model. The record is from RNAcentral. Lineage: Bacteria; Pseudomonadati; Pseudomonadota; Alphaproteobacteria; Hyphomicrobiales; Brucellaceae.